RNAcentral lists this ribosomal RNA (645 nucleotides) under uncultured bacterium. RNAcentral's name for it is "bacterial SSU rRNA". It matches the Rfam family "Bacterial small subunit ribosomal RNA", at positions 1 to 627 of the family's 1533-position model. The record is from RNAcentral.
CACUAGUGAUUGAGUUUGAUCCUGGCUCAGGAUGAACGCUGGCGGCAUGCCUAAUACAUGCAAGUCGAACGGACUUGAGGAGAGCUUGCUUUCCGCAAGUCAGUGGCGAACGGGUGAGUAACACGUAGGCAACCUGCCCAUGUACCCGGGAUAACAGACGGAAACGACUGCUAAAACCGGAUAGGUAAGAGGGAGGCAUCUUCCGCUUAUCAAAGCACCCAAGGGUGUGGACAUGGAUGGGCCUGCGGCGCAUUAGCCGGUUGGCGGGGUAACGGCCCACCAAAGCAAUGAUGCGUAGCCGACCUGAGAGGGCGAACGGCCACAUUGGGACUGAGACACGGCCCAAACUCCUACGGGAGGCAGCAGUAGGGAAUUUUCGUCAAUGGAGGGAACUCUGAACGAGCAAUGCCGCGUGAGUGAAGAAGGUCUUCGGAUCGUAAAGCUCUGUUGCAAGAGAAAAACGACAAGCACAGGGAAUGGUGAUUGAGUGAUGGUAUCUUGCGAGGAAGCCACGGCUAACUACGUGCCAGCAGCCGCGGUAAUACGUAGGUGGCGAGCGUUAUCCGGAAUGAUUGGGCGUAAAGGGUGCGCAGGCGGCGCAUUAAGUUUGAAGUAAAAGGUAGCGGCUCAACCGCUGCAAGCUUC